This 1145-nucleotide long non-coding RNA is filed under the name Oncorhynchus kisutch (coho salmon). Its description in RNAcentral is "lncRNA (ENSOKIG00005013733.1)". The record is from RNAcentral. Lineage: Eukaryota; Metazoa; Chordata; Actinopteri; Salmoniformes; Salmonidae.
GCGCAAUAUACAGAAUGCAUAGGAAAUAGGAAAACCUUUAAGAUCAAUAGCCACAUUGAAUGCAGCAAAAAGACUUACCUAAGGAAUCCACGGGGAAGAUAAUAGCUAGUCCACUAUUUUGAUCAGAAAACCACGUUUUUGUUCUCCUUAGGUGUGACUAGCUAGCCUACUCUACACAUCACUAUCCCUUAUACAUACAUGCGACCAGGUUCCAUCUGCUGCAACUGGAUUGAGUCACUCAGCACCCCGUUGUCCGAAUCAAAGUUCGGACGUUUCCGACAAGUUGACGAAUAGCCUUAGGAAAUAGUUGGACAUCUCCCGAGUUAAAAAUCAUGCCCUUUUUUUUUAUCCAAAAGAGGUCGCCAGAGUAUUGCAUCUCAUUUAUAGCGCGUCAUAUAAUUUGAGACCACGAUUAAAUUACACAAACGAUGUAGCAGUUGUGUGCAACGUGAACCAGGCUAUUCUGAAUCGGAGUAGGCUAGCUACUAAAUGUAUGAAUUGCAGCACUAACAUUUCAAGUCUAACCUCCCUAAAAUGUGUGGCCUAUUUGGACAAGGAUAUCUAGUUUCACCGCUCUUUAAAAGCCCUAAGGAAAGCGUGUAUCGGUAGUUUUAGACAUGCGGAAGUGUGCGGGGGCUAUGAUGCACUGUUAAAUGACGGACGGCCCUCUGUGUUCCUAGCUGUGCUGGGAAAUAAUUAUUCAUCCGAAAGAUCUGCCUCUCGGGACCCUUUUGGAUACCCGGUGAAUGAACAGUGGACCAUAGGACAAAUACAUUAUUCUGCCACUCUAAUGAAUACUCAGGGAGAAAAAGGUGAAGAUUCACUCGCAGAGCGCGGAAGGUGUUAAUUUCGCAGAAGGCAGAAAUCGUGGUCACAGGCAGGAAACAAAACUAGGACCGACGGCUAUAACUGGUUCUCACAAACGAACUAGGAAAAGGCUUAGUAGAGUCAAAAUGAACAAUACCUCACAAAGGCACAAACAGAAUGACCUGAACUAAAUAAGGAGCUGAUGAGACCAGGUGAGUAUCUAACACAGGUGAAAUCAAUGAACAAAAAUGAAAGACUACUAAUGAAAGGGCUACGUUCAAGAACAUAAAGAAACAUAACACAAGGCUGACUGAGAAAAUAAAUACAGGACCUUACAG